AAUACCCAUUGCGAAGGCGAUCUGCUGGAACUCAACUGACGCUAAGGCGCGAAAGAGUGGGGAGCAAACAGGAUUAGAUACCCUGGUAGUCCACGCCCUAAACGAUGUACACUAGUUGUUGGGGUGCUAUUCAUCUCAGUAAUGCAGCUAACGCAUUAAGUGUACCGCCUGGGGAGUACGGUCGCAAGAUUAAAAAUCAAAGGAAUAGACGGGGACCCGCACAAGCGGUGGAGCAUGUGGUUUAAUUCGA
This 250-nucleotide ribosomal RNA is filed under the name Campylobacter jejuni. RNAcentral's name for it is "partial 16S ribosomal RNA". It matches the Rfam family "Bacterial small subunit ribosomal RNA", at positions 705 to 954 of the family's 1533-position model. The record is from RNAcentral. Lineage: Bacteria; Pseudomonadati; Campylobacterota; Epsilonproteobacteria; Campylobacterales; Campylobacteraceae.